This 500-nucleotide ribosomal RNA is filed under the name uncultured bacterium. RNAcentral describes it as "bacterial SSU rRNA". It matches the Rfam family "Bacterial small subunit ribosomal RNA", at positions 8 to 497 of the family's 1533-position model. The record is from RNAcentral.
AGAGUUUGAUCAUGGCUCAGAGUGAACGCUGGCGGUAGGCCUAACACAUGCAAGUCGAACGGCAGCACAGGGGAGCUUGCUCCUUGGGUGGCGAGUGGCGGACGGGUGAGGAAUACAUCGGAAUCUACUCUGUCGUGGGGGAUAACGUAGGGAAACUUACGCUAAUACCGCAUACGACCUACGGGUGAAAGCAGGGGAUCUUCGGACCUUGCGCGAUUGAAUGAGCCGAUGUCGGAUUAGCUAGUUGGCGGGGUAAAGGCCCACCAAGGCGACGAUCCGUAGCUGGUCUGAGAGGAUGAUCAGCCACACUGGAACUGAGACACGGUCCAGACUCCUACGGGAGGCAGCAGUGGGGAAUAUUGGACAAUGGGCGCAAGCCUGAUCCAGCCAUACCGCGUGGGUGAAGAAGGCCUUCGGGUUGUAAAGCCCUUUUGUUGGGAAAGAAAUCCAGCCGGCUAAUACCUGGUUGGGAUGACGGUACCCAAAGAAUAAGCACCGGC